CCUGUCUCAGGACGAACGCUGGCGGCGCGCCUAACACAUGCAAGUCGAACGGGGUUGAGAGGAGCUUGCUUUUCUUGACUUAGUGGCGAACGGGUGAGUAACGCGUGAGGAACCUGCCUCAAAGAGGGGGACAACAGUUGGAAACGACUGCUAAUACCGCAUAAGCCCACGGUUCUGCAUGGAACUGAGGGAAAAGGAGCAAUCCGCUUUGAGAUGGCCUCGCGUCCGAUUAGCUAGUUGGUGAGGUAACGGCCCACCAAGGCGACGAUCGGUAGCCGGACUGAGAGGUUGAACGGCCACAUUGGGACUGAGACACGGCCCAGACUCCUACGGGAGGCAGCAGUGGGGAAUAUUGCACAAUGGGGGAAACCCUGAUGCAGCGACGCCGCGUGGAGGAAGAAGGUCUUCGGAUUGUAAACUCCUGUUGUUGGGGAAAAAGAGGAUGGUACCCAACAAGGAAGUGACGGCUAACUACGUGCCAGCAGCCGCGGUAA
This 494-nucleotide ribosomal RNA is filed under the name uncultured bacterium. Its description in RNAcentral is "bacterial SSU rRNA". It matches the Rfam family "Bacterial small subunit ribosomal RNA", at positions 18 to 523 of the family's 1533-position model. The record is from RNAcentral.